AGCAGGCGCGAAAACUCUACAAUGCAGGCAACUGCGAUAGGGGAACAUCGAGUGGCACCCACCAUGGGUGUCUGUCCAACCGUCUAAAAAACGGUUGUUAGCAAGGGCCGGGUAAGACCGGUGCCAGCCGCCGCGGUAAUACCGGCGGCUCGAGUGGUGGCCGAUAUUAUUGAGUCUAAAGGGUCCGUAGCUGGCUUUGCAAGUCCCCUGGGAAAUCCAGCGGCUUAACCGUUGGGCUUCCAUGGGAUACUACAUUGCUUGGGACUGGGAGAGGUAGGAGGUACUCAGGGGGUAGGGGUGAAAUCCUGUAAUCCUCUGGGGACCACCGGUGGCGAAGGCGUCCUACCAGAACAGGUCCGACAGUGAGGGACGAAAGCUAGGGGCACGAACCGGAUUAGAUACCCGGGUAGUCCUAGCCGUAAACGAUGCUCGCUAGGUGUCACGGCAGUCGUGAAUUGUCGUGGUGCCGUAGGGAAGCCGUGAAGCGAGCCACUUGGGAAGUACGACCGCAAGGUUGAAACUUAAAGGAAUUGGCGGGGGAGCAC
Molecule: ribosomal RNA, 545 nt
Filed under: uncultured archaeon
Lineage: Archaea
Description: bacterial SSU rRNA
Rfam family: Archaeal small subunit ribosomal RNA
Source: RNAcentral